Molecule: long non-coding RNA, 335 nt
Organism: Salvia hispanica
Lineage: Eukaryota; Viridiplantae; Streptophyta; Magnoliopsida; Lamiales; Lamiaceae
Source: RefSeq, a predicted model, not a curated record
CAGGAUCAUGUUAAUCAAUCUCACUCCGACAAAAAGAGAUUGCCUUCAGAAAUAAAACUGGAGCUUGCAAAAGUGGCUAGAAUAGCGAGCUCCUGCUAUAGACGGAUUCCAGAGGAUGUGAUCAGCCGUCUAAUGACCAUUUUGGGCCACUUGAUGAAGAUUGCGACACUGAAGAAGUAUGUCGAGAUGGAACACUAUGUCUUGGCUGAGACAAAGCCAAAAUGUUAAAGACAUGCAUUCGAAAUGAACUCCUCUUCUGAGAUGCAUGGCUUAGAAGUAGAUAUUUGUUGUAGAACUAUUUUCUUUAUCACCAACAACUGAAGCACUUUAACUUU